GGCCUAACACAUGCAAGUCGAACGAGAUUAUACAGCUUGCUGGACUUGAAAGUGGCGCACGGGUGCGUAACGCGUAUGCAACCUACCUUGUUCAGGGGGAUAGCCCGGAGAAAUACAGAUUAACACCGCAUAACAUCACGCGGCAGCAUUGCCCUAUGAUCAAAUAUUUAUAGGAUUAAGAUGGGCAUGCGUGUCAUUAGCUAGUUGGCGGGGUAACGGCCCACCAAGGCUACGAUGACUAGGGGAUCUGAGAGGAUGACCCCCCACACUGGUACUGAGACACGGACCAGACUCCUACGGGAGGCAGCAGUAAGGAAUAUUGGUCAAUGGACGCAACUCUGAACCAGCCAUGCCGCGUGCAGGAAGACUGCCCUAUGGGUUGUAAACUGCUUUUGUCCGGGAAUAAACCUUGCUUCGUGUAUCAAGCUGAAUGUACCGGAAGAAUAAGGAUCGGCUAACUCCGUGCCAGCAGCCGCGGUAAUACGGAGGAUCCAAGCGUUAUCCGGAUUUAUUGGGUUUAAAGGGUGCGUAGGCGGCCUGUUAAGUCAGAGGUGAAAGACGGUAGCUCAACUAUCGCAGUGCCUUUGAUACUGAUGAGCUUGAAUGAACUAGAGGUAGGCGGAAUGAGACAAGUAGCGGUGAAAUGCAUAGAUAUGUCUCAGAACACCGAUUGCGAAGGCAGCUUACUAUGGUUUUAUUGACGCUGAGGCACGAAAGCGUGGGGAUCAAACAGGAUUAGAUACCCUGGUAGUCCACGCCCUAAACGAUGAAUACUCGAUGUUAGCGAUAU
Molecule: ribosomal RNA, 790 nt
Filed under: uncultured Pedobacter sp.
Lineage: Bacteria; Pseudomonadati; Bacteroidota; Sphingobacteriia; Sphingobacteriales; Sphingobacteriaceae
Description: bacterial SSU rRNA
Rfam family: Bacterial small subunit ribosomal RNA
Source: RNAcentral